ACAAUCAAAAUAAGGAAGUGAUCCGAGUUGACUGGGAAGCGCCGGAAACGCAUGACACGAACAUCACUUUCAGGCAUUCAUACACUUUGACUGACCUCCUAAAGUCUACAUUACAAUGCAGAGCUAAAUGAUUGAGAUUAACAUCUGUGUUUGUUUGACAUGUUUCAGAGCCACAUUUGUUGAAAGUUAUCCUACAUUCUGGAAACCAAUAGAUGUGAAUGUUACUUUACCUUCACCCACCACACCAUUACCAACACAAAGUACUACCACAAGUACUACAACGCUAAGUCCUACAACAUCAAGUACUGCCACAAGUACUACAACGCUAAGUCCUACAACAUCAAGUACUCCCACAAGUAUUAUAACAAUAAGUCCUACAACACCAAGUACUACCACAAGUACUACAACGCUAAGUCCUACAACACCAAGUACUACCACAAGUACUACAAUGCUGAAUCCUACAACACUAAAUACUACAAAGCCAAGUACUACACAGGCAAGUACCACAACACCAAGUACUACAAGUACAAGUGAUUAUGGUACUACAAAGCCAAGUACUGCAGAGACAAGCAUGACAACUCAAGUGCCAAUCGUGUUCAACCUAUUGCAGGGAGUAGCCAUUGUUGGGAUGAUUUUUGACAGUUUUUUGGUGGUAGUGGAAACGGUAUGGUAUUUCUAAACUUAUGUCACCCAUUAAAUGCAGUUACACAUAAGUCCUACCCAAAAACGUUGCACCAAAAGAUGCAUUUCUCUCUCACCCCCCCAGGAGCUGUCUAAUAUAUUGUCGACUACCUUCCGCAGCAGACCCUUAUCUUUUCGUCUAAAUAAGGUGACAAAGAUACUGUGCUGUCUGCUUUGUGCGGCAGUUGAAAUAACGGCCGUGGUCUUGUUUUGUUUGGCAGAUUCCAUUAAAGUUACUCUCGUUGCUCUUGUGUGUGUGGCGAUAGUGCUUAAUUUCAUAAAGCUGGUAAUCGUGUGUCUGCCAUUUGGACCCAGUCAUGAACUAAAGGACAUCUGCAACCUUACUGUCAAAGUGUGUUCCAUCAUCCAUGUGAUUUUUACAACUGCAGUUGUUGUUGUUGGUGUGUUGGAGAUUGACAACUGCGGAAAUACCAUAAAAGACUCUUGGCUUUUGAAAGUGGUGGUCGCUCACACAAUAUGGAUUUCCCUGUUUGUACUUUGGGUUUCCGUGAACAGUAUUCAAAGUAAAGCAGUACUGGGGAGAAGCCAAAUAGGGAGACAACGACAGGGUGAUAGAUGGAGGAAACAAAGAAAAAUG
This is a long non-coding RNA of Etheostoma cragini (Arkansas darter), 1279 nucleotides long. RefSeq lists it as uncharacterized. NCBI's taxonomy places the organism in Eukaryota, Metazoa, Chordata, Actinopteri, Perciformes, Percidae. The transcript is spliced from 7 exons. The record is from RefSeq and is a predicted model, not a curated record.